AUACAUGCAAGUCGAACGAGCUUCCGUUGAUUGACGUGCUUGCACUGAUUUCAACCAUGAAGCGAGUGGCGAACUGGUGAGUAACACGUGGGAAAUCUGCCCAGAAGCAGGGGAUAACACUUGGAAACAGGUGCUAAUACCGUAUAACAACAAGAACCGCAUGGUUCUUGUUUGAAAGGUGGUUUCGGCUAUCACUUCUGGAUGAUCCCGCGGCGUAUUAGUUAGUUGGUGAGGUAAAGGCCCACCAAGACAAUGAUACGUAGCCGACCUGAGAGGGUAAUCGGCCACAUUGGGACUGAGACACGGCCCAAACUCCUACGGGAGGCAGCAGUAGGGAAUCUUCCACAAUGGACGAAAGUCUGAUGGAGCAAUGCCGCGUGAGUGAAGAAGGGUUUCGGCUCGUAAAACUCUGUUGUUAAAGAAGAACACCUCUGAGAGUAACUGUUCAGGGGUUGACGGUAUUUAACCAGAAAGCCACGGCUAACUACGUGCCAGCAGCCGCGGUAAUACGUAGGUGGCAAGCGUUGUCCGGAUUUAUUGGGCGUAAAGCGAGCGCAGGCGGUUUCUUAAGUCUGAUGUGAAAGCCUUCGGCUUAACCGGAGAAGUGCAUCGGAAACUGGGUAACUUGAGUGCAGAAGAGGACAGUGGAACUCCAUGUGUAGCGGUGGAAUGCGUAGAUAUAUGGAAGAACACCAGUGGCGAAGGCGGCUGUCUAGUCUGUAACUGACGCUGAGGCUCGAAAG
Molecule: ribosomal RNA, 743 nt
Filed under: Levilactobacillus brevis
Lineage: Bacteria; Bacillati; Bacillota; Bacilli; Lactobacillales; Lactobacillaceae
Description: bacterial SSU rRNA
Rfam family: Bacterial small subunit ribosomal RNA
Source: RNAcentral